RNAcentral lists this transfer RNA (77 nucleotides) under Bathymodiolus thermophilus thioautotrophic gill symbiont. RNAcentral's name for it is "tRNA-Arg". It matches the Rfam family "tRNA". From Rfam's summary of the family: Transfer RNA (tRNA) molecules are approximately 80 nucleotides in length. Their secondary structure includes four short double-helical elements and three loops (D, anti-codon, and T loops). Further hydrogen bonds mediate the characteristic L-shaped molecular structure. tRNAs have two regions of fundamental functional importance: the anti-codon, which is responsible for specific mRNA codon recognition, and the 3' end, to which the tRNAs corresponding amino acid is attached (by aminoacyl-tRNA synthetases). tRNAs cope with the degeneracy of the genetic code in two manners: having more than one tRNA (with a specific anti-codon) for a particular amino acid; and 'wobble' base-pairing, i.e. permitting non-standard base-pairing at the 3rd anti-codon position. The record is from RNAcentral. Lineage: Bacteria; Pseudomonadati; Pseudomonadota; Gammaproteobacteria. RNAcentral also lists the same sequence under 3 other names.
GCGCCCUUAGCUCAGCUGGAUAGAGCAACGGCCUUCUAAGCCGUAGGUCAAACGUUCGAAUCGUUUAGGGCGCACCA